CCAGACUCCUACGGGAGGCAGCAGUGGGGGAUAUUGGACAAUGGGGGGAACCCUGAUCCAGCGACGCCGCGUGAGUGAAGAAGUAUUUCGGUAUGUAAAGCUCUGUCAGCAGGGAAGAAAGAAAUGACGGUACCUGACCAAGAAGCCCCGGCUAACUACGUGCCAGCAGCCGCGGUAAUACGUAGGGGGCAAGCGUUAUCCGGAAUUACUGGGUGUAAAGGGAGCGUAGACGGCAUGGCAAGUCUGAAGUGAAAGCCCGGGGCUCAACCGCGGGACUGCUUUGGAAACUGUUAAGCUGGAGUGCAGGAGAGGUAAGUGGAAUUCCUAGUGUAGCGGUGAAAUGCGUAGAUAUUAGGAGGAACACCAGUGGCGAAGGCGGCUUACUGGACUGUAACUGACGUUGAGGCUCGAAAGCGUGGGGAGCAAACAGGAUUAGAUACCCCAGUA
This 447-nucleotide ribosomal RNA is filed under the name uncultured bacterium. RNAcentral's name for it is "bacterial SSU rRNA". It matches the Rfam family "Bacterial small subunit ribosomal RNA", at positions 331 to 792 of the family's 1533-position model. The record is from RNAcentral.